This is a long non-coding RNA of Bos taurus (domestic cattle), 755 nucleotides long. The record is from Ensembl. NCBI's taxonomy places the organism in Eukaryota, Metazoa, Chordata, Mammalia, Artiodactyla, Bovidae.
CCUGGUGCGUGGGGAUUCCCGCGGCCGUGGCCACUACCCGGCCUGCCCCGCGGCAAGAUGGCGGUCUGAAGGCAGUGGGCAGCGGCAGAAACUGAAGACUCAGGGGCCCCAGGGAUUGGAAGAAAUCACAGUGCCUGCUUGGAAAGAAGAAGAGGUAGCGACUUGCCCCAGCUCAACCCCAGAGCGGGUGAGCCAGAUGGGGAAUUCGGUCUCAGAUGUCUUUGAGGGUCUUUACAUCCGGGCAGAAUUGUCAUCGUUUUCCUUGGCUCCCGGGAGAAGACAGCUUUCCAGGCUUUGAACUGGAAUUGGAAAUGGAGGGUUCUGUCCCCUGUGUCUGUGGCCUUGGGCAGGGCUCUUGUCCUCUGUGUCACUUCAGAAUGGGAGAACGCCACCUGUGCUGUGGGCCUCACUAAGCUACAAGGAUUGAAGGAAAUACAGCUGAAGGGAAAGCACUUCUGGGAGGGUACAGCACAGUGCGGAUGGAGUGAUUUUGCCCGUUUGUCAGGGAACAGUGCGUUGUCAUCAUAAACGUGGUGUGGUACCUCGUUGAAAAUACCAACCGUACAGAAAAAUCUACAAAAUUUAAAGCAAAAAGACCUUCCCUUUCUUCCCCCACUGCUCCUGUCUAAGCCCUUUCCCAAAGACAGGGAAUACUGUUAACCAUUUAUCCUGUAUCCUUCUGAUCAUUCUAAUGUAUUAAUACUUCCAGACAUUCCCUAUCAUGUAUUGCCUGUAAAAUAAACACAACUUAAUAG